GGGGAAGUGGGAUGGGGACCUUGGCCACCCCAUCCCCCAGCAUCAGUUGGCCUCUCAAUAAAAGAAGCCAAUCCUCGCUGGGAAAACACAGGUAGGUGCACGGACAGCAACAUCACAGGCUUCAACAUGAGGACGGCCAUCCUUCUUCUGACUGCCUUGGUCUCAGCUGUGCUGAGUGUUGAGCAAUCUUCUGAAGAUCUGGACUUAUUCAGUGCAGAGCCGAGAGCUGAGCACUCUUCUGAAUCUCCUGAAGAUCAGGACUUAUUCGGCGCAGGUGCAAUGGUGCAAUCAGUUGAGCAAUCUUCUGAAUCUACUGAAUCUUCUGAAGAUCAGGACUUAUUCAGUGCACGU
Conger conger (European conger) is the source of this 351-nucleotide long non-coding RNA. RefSeq lists it as uncharacterized. NCBI's taxonomy places the organism in Eukaryota, Metazoa, Chordata, Actinopteri, Anguilliformes, Congridae. The transcript has 4 exons. The record is from RefSeq and is a predicted model, not a curated record.